UGGGGAAUCUUGCGCAAUGGCCGAAAGGCUGACGCAGCGACGCCGCGUGCGGGAGGACGCCCUUCGGGGUGUAAACCGCUGUCGGCGGGGACGAACCCCUGGGAGAGGAAAUGCUCCCAGGCUGACGGUACCCGCAGAGGAAGCACCGGCUAACUCCGUGCCAGCAGCCGCGGUAAUACGGAGGGUGCGAGCGUUGUUCGGAAUUAUUGGGCGUAAAGCGCACGUAGGCGGUUGGGUAAGUCUCAUGGUGAAAGGCCGGGGCUCAACUCCGUGCUUGCCAGGGAUACUGCCCGACUGGAGACAGGGAGAGGCCAGUGGAAUUCCGGGUGUAGCGGUGGAAUGCGUAGAGAUCCGGAAGAACACCGGAGGCGAAGGCGGCUGGCUGGCCCUGAUCUGACGCUGAGGUGCGAAAGCGUGGGGAGCGAACAGG
RNAcentral lists this ribosomal RNA (430 nucleotides) under uncultured bacterium. Its description in RNAcentral is "bacterial SSU rRNA". It matches the Rfam family "Bacterial small subunit ribosomal RNA", at positions 355 to 776 of the family's 1533-position model. The record is from RNAcentral.